AUGACUGCCCGCUCCUGGCCACAGACACUGCAGGAAGCUGUGAACAUUCCCAAGUUGGAACAACCUUCCCACUUUAGGCCCACAGUCUAGCUUUUCCUCCAAUGCAAUCUAACCCAUAUUGGGCCUCUGGUAUGUCACCAAAGCUUCUAAUCAUUUGAAACCAUGGUUAUCAGUUCAUCUUUUUCUGGUAACUAAAGAGAAACGUCCGUCUGGUGGCAACAGGGAUGACUGAUUACAGCUGGGUAAAAUCUGAUGGGAAAGAGGUAAAUGAGGAGCCCAAAGCUGGAACCCAGAUGCAUAAUAGGAUAAUGGUGUCAAGAGAAGGAGGAACAUGAAGAGAGGAAGAGAAGAAAUAUUGAAUUCAAGAGGGAAAUGUUUAUGUGAAAGAAAUAAGGAUUAAAGAGGCAGGAUGAGGAAACCGGGAGACUUUUUAGAAGACUGGGAAAUAAGACCUCUUCUAAAAUACUCAUGGUCAGUGUGAGAUGGAGAGGUGAAGCCACAUUGAUCAUGAACAGCCCUCAAAAUGAAAUGAAGACUGCUGAAAGAGGCCCCUGACUCCAAGCUCAAAGGAAUGACUUAGGAAGUCAGCAAUCCAAUCACCAUCUCUGCAUACGAGUUCAGCAUCAGGGCUCUCCUGGAUUACGGCCAACGAGCUCCUAAUUGAUCCCUUCUUACCACAAAGUGACCUUUCUAAAAUAUGAGAUCAUGUGAGCCUCUUGGUGA
This is a non-coding RNA of Ictidomys tridecemlineatus (thirteen-lined ground squirrel), 723 nucleotides long. The record is from RefSeq and is a predicted model, not a curated record. Lineage: Eukaryota; Metazoa; Chordata; Mammalia; Rodentia; Sciuridae.